CGUGAGACAGGUUAGUUUUACCCUACUGAUGACCGUCGUCCCAAUGGUAAUUCCGCUUAGUACGAGAGGAACCGCGGAUUCAGAUAAUUGGUUUUUGCGGCUGUCCGACCGGGCAGUGCCGCGAAGCUACCAUCUGCUGGAUAAUAGCUGAACGCCUCUAAGUUAGAAUCCAUGCCAGAACGGGACGAUUUUCUCCAGCACGUCGUACGAGGAUACGAAUAGGCUUCGGCCCCGGACCUUAGCAGGCCAUAACUCCUCUCUCGUAGAAGUCGGGAGAGGUAAUUGGCGGAUAGCAAUUUGACAGCGCGCUGGGAUGAAUCCUUUGCAGACGACUUAGACGUGUAACCGGGUCGUGUAAGCAGUCGAGUAGCUUUGUUGUUACGA
This 384-nucleotide ribosomal RNA is filed under the name Astrosyne radiata. RNAcentral describes it as "partial Eukaryotic large subunit ribosomal RNA". It matches the Rfam family "Eukaryotic large subunit ribosomal RNA", at positions 2972 to 3366 of the family's 3401-position model. The record is from RNAcentral. Lineage: Eukaryota; Bacillariophyta; Fragilariophyceae; Cyclophorales; Cyclophoraceae.